Molecule: ribosomal RNA, 618 nt
Filed under: Entoloma murrayi
Lineage: Eukaryota; Fungi; Basidiomycota; Agaricomycetes; Agaricales; Entolomataceae
Description: partial large subunit ribosomal RNA
Rfam family: Eukaryotic large subunit ribosomal RNA
Source: RNAcentral
GGAGGAAAAGAAACUAACAAGGAUUCCCCUAGUAACUGCGAGUGAAGCGGGAAAAGCUCAAAUUUAAAAUCUGAUAGUCUUUGGCUGUCCGAGUUGUAAUCUAGAGAAGCACUAUCCGUGCUGGACCAUGUGUAAGUCUCCUGGAAUGGGGCGUCAUAGAGGGUGAGAAUCCCGUCUUCAACAUGGACUACCAGUGCAUUGUGAUAUGCUCUCAACGAGUCGAGUUGUUUGGGAAUGCAGCUCUAAAUGGGUGGUAAAUUCCAUCUAAAGCUAAAUAUUGGCGAGAGACCGAUAGCGAACAAGUACCGUGAGGGAAAGAUGAAAAGAACUUUGGAAAGAGAGUUAAACAGUACGUGAAAUUGUUGAAAGGGAAACGCUUAAAGUCAGUCACAUUGGUCAGGGAUCAACCUUGCUUUUGCUUGGUGUAUUUUCUGAUUAAUGGGUCAGCAUCAAUUUUGAUCAGUGGAAAAAGGCUGAGGGAAUGUGGCAUCUUUUGAUGUGUUAUAGCUCUCUGUCAUAUACAUUGGUUGGGAUUGAGGAACUCAGCAUGCCGCAAGGCCGGGUUUUAACCACGUUCGUGCUUAGGAUGCUGGCAUAAUGGCUUUAAUCGACCCGUCU